GCGGCCGCGGCUCCGCCCCGGGUUCCCACCUCCUGAAGGGCGAGAGACAAGCCCGACCUGCUACGGGUUGCUCCUUGAGGGCAGGACAGUUCUUAUGGCUUUAUCUGUUGCUUAAGCACAGAGAGAGGUCUGUGAGGUCAAAACUGUUGUCAUGAUAGCAAGAUGCUUGUCUUUUUCAUUUAUUCUCACAGUGUGCAGAGGCUACAUGAUUUGUGAUGACAUCCUCAUUGUUGUUAAUGAAUGGUGCUAUACUUGAAUUUUCUAAGGUGUCGUUAGCAAUUCUCCUGCCUCAGCCUCCUGUGUAACUGGGACUACAGGGAAGCACCAUUUUCCACAAAACUCUCAAGAAGGACUUGUUGCAACUGGAAAAGCAAUUAAAUGUGAAUCGUGAUCCAGGAGAAAAUAACAACCCACAUAAC
This 419-nucleotide non-coding RNA is filed under the name Pongo abelii (Sumatran orangutan). The record is from RNAcentral. Lineage: Eukaryota; Metazoa; Chordata; Mammalia; Primates; Hominidae.